UGCAUACAAAUAAGCGGAGGAAAAGAAACCAACAGGGAUUGCCUCAGUAGCGGGGAGUGAAGCGGGAAAAGCUCAAAUUUGAAAUCUGGGGUCUUUGGGGUCCGAGUUGUAAUUUGAAGAAGGUAUCUUUGGGGCCGGGUCUUGUCUAUGUUCCUUGGAACAGGACGUCACAGAGGGUGAGAAUCCCGUGCGAUGAGAUGGGCCGGGUCUAUGUAAAGUUCCUUCGACGAGUCGAGUUGUUUGGGAAUGCAGCUCUAAGUGGGUGGUAAAUUCCAUCUAAAGCUAAAUAUUGGGGAGAGACCGAUAGCGAACAAGUACAGUGAUGGAAAGAUGAAAAGAACUUUGAAAAGAGAGUGAAAAAGUACGUGAAAUUGUUGAAAGGGAAGGGGUUGAGAUCAGACUUGGUAUUUUGCAAGUUACUCUUUCGGGGGUGGGCUCUGCGGUUUACCGGGGCAGCAUCGGUUUGGAGCGGUAGGAUAAUGGGGGGGGAAUGUGGGACGACUUUGGUUGUGUGUUAUAGCCUCUGACGAUACUGCCAGCCUAGACCGAGGACUGCGGUUUUUACCUAGGAUGUUGGGAUAAUGAUCUUAAGUCGCCCGUCUUGAACCAACGGGACC
This 617-nucleotide ribosomal RNA is filed under the name Candida dubliniensis. RNAcentral describes it as "eukaryotic LSU rRNA". It matches the Rfam family "Eukaryotic large subunit ribosomal RNA", at positions 37 to 664 of the family's 3401-position model. The record is from RNAcentral. Lineage: Eukaryota; Fungi; Ascomycota; Pichiomycetes; Serinales; Debaryomycetaceae.